UUUUUUUUUUUUUUUUUUUGCUGCCCGUUUCCUGGGGCAUGCCUAUUUGCAAGGUUUCAUAGACUUGCCUUUUAAAAACUUCUUAGAACAAAAUUAUCCUAUCGUGUUAUUAACCCACAGGAUUUCUUACAUUGGGAUUGACCUGUCAUAUGUAUCAAGCACCCUCUUCUACACAACCUGGGAUAGGUGUUAAGAUGAAAGCAGGUGACCCACAAAUGACUGGAGCUCAAAUUCCAAAGCAGACUGAGGACCAGAGAUAAGCAUGAAGAGAAGAAUACCAAAAUAAUAAUAACAAUAAUAAAAAAUAUUUAAGAAGAAAAAAAGAGAAGAAUACCAGUCUAUGUAGGCGGCAGCGAUUGUGAGGAGAAGCAGGAGGGAAGGCUGUCUGGAGUGUAGUGUUUUACACGCCCACCCAAGGGCUCGACCAACCCAAAUGGCCACAGUCAGUAUUACAGCCUCUUCACAGAAGAGAUCAAACUGGAUUCCAUAUAAGCUAUGAUGGGCUGUUCUUCCUUCUCACUCUGCCCUCCCUCUGGCAGUCAAAAUUUAAGGUUACACUAAUAAAGGCGCUCCCAGAACUAAACGACAAGUACCAGGGUUUCAGAAAAAUAAUUCUGAGCUGAUAUUAGCAAGUAAUCUCACUAGAUGGCACUGCUGACUUCCAAAUCCGAACCUGAAUGAGGCCAAUGCAUCCAGCUUCUGAAACCAAAACUAGAACCAACCUUCUGACGCCCCCUGCUGGCCUCCCCAUUACUCAGAAAAUAGUUCAGAAGGUGGAGAGGAAAGCAACAAUGGUUCACCUUCAAACUAUUUAUUCGUUCUAAAUAACUAAGGAAUAUCAACCUGCACGCAUUCAACAAGGUUUCAUAUAAUGUCCUCUAUGUGCACACAGGCCAACUAAAGGCAGCAUCAAGGCUAAGUCUGGACUUUGGAAUAUGCUGCCUCAGGUAUAUUAUAUCCAAACUCUUCUACUUUCUACUUAGAGAAUGCAGGGACUUGGAGAACAGACUUGCGGUUGCCAAGGGAGAAGGGGAGUGAGUGGGAUGGACUGGGAGUCUGGGGUUAAUAAAUUCAAACUAUUGCAUUUGGAGUGAAUAAGCAAUGAGAUCCUGCUGUACUGCACAGGGAGCUGUAUCUAGUCACUUAUGAUGAAACAUGAUGGAGGAUAAUGUGAGAAAAAGAAUGUAUAUAUGUGUAUGACUGGGUCACUUUGCUGUGCAGUAGAAAUUGACUGAACACUGUAAACCAACUAUAAUGGACAAAAUAAAAAUCAUUAAAAAAAGAAUUAGAGGGAGUUCCCAUCAUGGCACAGCGGAAACGAAUCCGACUAGGAACCAUGAGGUUGCGGGUUCAAUCCCUGGCCUUGCUCAGUGGGUUAAGGAUCCGGCGUUGCCGUGAGCUGUGGUGUAGGUCACAGACGUGGCUUGGAUCUGGCAUUGCUGUGGAUGUGGCAUAGGCCGGCGGCUACAGCUCUGAUUAGACCCCUAGCCUGGGAACCUUCAUAUGCCGUGGGUUCGGCCCUAAAAAAAAAAAAGAAUUAGGAGUUCCCAUCGUGGCGCAGUGGUUAACGAAUCCGAGUAGGAACCAUGAGGUUGCGGGUUCGGUCCCUGCCCUUGCUCAGUGGGUCAAGGUUUCGGCAUUGCCGUGAGCUGUGGUGUAGGUCGCAGACGCGGCUCGGAUCCUGCGUUGCUGUGGCUCUGGCGUAGGCUGACAGCUACAGCUCCGAUUCGACCCCUAGCCCGGGAACCUCCAUAUGCCGCGAGAGCGGCCCAAGAAAUGGCAAAAAGACAAAAAAAAAAAAAAAAAAAAAAAAAAAAGAAUUAGAGAAUCAACAUCUGUGACGUAUGGAGACAGUGCCUGGCACAUACUAAUUGCUGUAUAAAUGUUAUGUGCAAGGCAUUUCUUGAGAGUCAAGGAAAAAUAAAGACAUGAAUCAGAGAAGGAUCUUGCUCUCAAGGUCUUUACAAUCUGGAAAGUAAGAGUAGGUAUAAACUAUAAUUUUACACUACAUUCAAAAGCAGAAAAUGCUAACUUUUAGAAGUAAAUAUUAAUUGCUACAGAAGCAUAGACCAAGGAAAGAUCAUUUGCUUCUGGGGCUAGUAAGAAAAGACUGUCUUAACAUCAAAGGUUUUUGUGCUGACACUUGAAAUUUGAACGGAUUCAGGAUGAGCAGAACCAAGAAGAGAGGCAUUCUGGUUCAGCGCCACUCACCAAACAUUGAUCACGUACCAGGCACUGUGCUAGGAGAUGGGGAACAUAAAGAGCCCAGAGUCUAGGAGACACAAGUAUAUGCUGAGCACUUCGACAUAGGAAGGAUGAACGGGUGCAGAUUGCAGUUGAUUCUUCGGGUGGGUUUCAAGGGACCCAGAGGAGAGGGGAAUGUGGGACAGGAGGAACUGCAGAUAAAUCCACAGCAGCAACAGCUGCAGGGUGCACGGGCUCCUUCCUCCUCUAGACCCACCCCUAUUCCCCACCCCUAGGAGCUGGUCCUCUGCCUCCCACCCACCUCCCUCAUUUUCAGAACUUUUGCCCACAGUCUUUAAAGUGAGAUGAAUGUCAACCAGUCCUCCACUCAACCCCCAUCAGUGAUCAUUGUUGAGUAGAAUUUCCAGAGAUUCAGACAUGACCUUGCUCUUUUACAAAAACUCUCAAUUCCUCCCUUAAGUGAGCCUUUUCUUUUUUUUCCUUUCUCCUUCUUUCUUCCUUUCUCACCCUGCCUCCUUUUUUUUCCCCCCUUUUUUGGCUGCCUCACAGCAAAUGGAGUUCCUGGGCCAGAGAUCAGAUCUGAGCCACAGUUGUGACCUACAGUGUAGCUGCAGCAACACUAGUCCUUUAACCCACUAUGCUGCCGGGCUGGGGAUUGAACCUGGGUCCUGGUGCUGCAGAGAUGCUGCUGAUCCCGUUGCACCACAGAGGGAACUCAAAGUGAGCCUUGUCAAAUGAUACAGGCCACCUGGACACUGAAGAGCUCCCCCUGCUCCCUAAAUGAAUCUGCCUGUCCUCUGAGGUCAUGACAAAAGCCAUCACCAUAGUAGGGGGUUUACAGAGGCAUGUGGAAAGCUGGAAGGUCAAGGGCCACAUCCACAACCACUCCAUUUCAGUCAAGGCCUUGCAGGGACAGGUGGCUGGCCUGGGAAGUUGAGAACUUGGAGGAAGUCCAGCAGAGGGCACUAACACAUGAAAACUGUAAUGU
RNAcentral lists this long non-coding RNA (3193 nucleotides) under Sus scrofa (pig). RNAcentral describes it as "lncRNA (ENSSSCG00050044165.1)". The record is from RNAcentral. Lineage: Eukaryota; Metazoa; Chordata; Mammalia; Artiodactyla; Suidae.